This is a long non-coding RNA of Tyto alba (common barn owl), 1186 nucleotides long. RefSeq lists it as uncharacterized. The transcript has 2 exons. The record is from RefSeq and is a predicted model, not a curated record. Lineage: Eukaryota; Metazoa; Chordata; Aves; Strigiformes; Tytonidae.
CCCGCGAGCAUCCGGGUCUCCCGCAGUGGCGUCAUUUCUCAGCCGGUGACACCGCUUCCCGGCCGGCUCCGCCCGCUUCCUGCUCUCAGUGGUGGGAGUACCAUGCCCUAGCAACAGCAUGCAGAGACCAUUCCUGGGCGUGAUGGGGCUCCAGAAGUAACAGGAGAGAAGCGCUCGCGGCUUACACAAAGUGGUCUGCCACAUUCCAGGUCCUCUCAGCUACGUGAAGCCACGAAGGUGGUUCUGCCCUAUUCCUCCUCACCCCUAUACACGCUUCAGUACUGAAGACCACCUCAUCACUGUGCCCCUGUCCUGCUUGAGUACUUACAGAAAGUUGGGCAAAAAACAGCAUAUGCUCUUGUAAUGAGGAGCAUCUUUUGUCUUGGGAAAAGAAGUGAGAUAUCGAAGUCAUUCCACAUUCUGCAGUGUUUGUUUCAGAGAAGAGAGAAUGAAAGUGGUCUGUGUAAAGAGAAAGGAGCAUUUAACUUUGAUUAAUGAAUAUUAGUAUCGUGCCUCAUAUAGCUAGUUACUGUUAUUAGUUACUGUAAGACAGGUAAAGAGGGAAUUUUUUUCAUUUUUAUUUUUUUAGCCCAACAAAGGAGAACUCGAAAGAAAAAAAUAUUAGCCUAGACAGUAUAGUAGCCUUCUGACUAUGUAGAUUUUUCUGCCAUCACUUUCACAAUCAAGUGUUUAUCGUUCUUAUGAAACUUUUUUAAAGGUACUUCAGUUACUCAUUUCUAGGAACUGAAGUCUCAUGUCCAGAAAAAGCUCCCGUUGGUACAAGCUGUAGCUGCCCAUCUGCCUAGCAACACAGAUCAUCACAAACAAACAGCUCUGGAGCACCCUGGCUCCCCAUGAGCACCGUGUCUAAAUACGGUCUCUGUAUUGACAGUUCAACACUCUUAGUACAGUUCUUUUGGCCAGCAUUGGAUGUCUCCUUCAUCACCAUGACCUCUGAUGUGAGGUAUGAAGGUAUGUUCUGGUGGACUACUGAGGCUGCUGGUUAACAGAAAGAAUUUGGCAGAUGUGGAUAUCGGUGUUCCUAAAUGCCUGGACCAAACUGAUACUAGUUAGAGAUGCCUUAGCCAUAUACCACAAUUCAAUUCAGCUUGCCAAAAUCUGACACUGCUCUUUACUGUUACUUUCUUGUGAUCGUCCUGUCCUCUUUUAACCACUUUUAUCCCAA